Spinacia oleracea (spinach) is the source of this 1192-nucleotide long non-coding RNA. RefSeq lists it as uncharacterized. The transcript has 5 exons. Lineage: Eukaryota; Viridiplantae; Streptophyta; Magnoliopsida; Caryophyllales; Amaranthaceae. The record is from RefSeq and is a predicted model, not a curated record.
UAAAGUCCAAUCCAAGCCCCUAUAUCAAACUUGGCGAAAACCCUAAUCAUCUCCGAUCAGCAGCUAUGUGCGAGUCUCUUUCUCUCUCCUCCGUUUCUGUAAAACCUCUUUUUUUUAUGCAUUUGUCUAAUCACCAAUCUACCUUUCCCACAGAUUGAUCUUAUAUAUACAAAAUUUCUGCAAAUGGGGGGAUAAAAGGGGGCGUACAAUUACCGAUACUAUGUAGGAAGAAGCAGUUUGAUGUCAUGAGAUUCUCUCUCAAGGUCAAAUGUUGGAUUUGGGUAUAUGAUUAACUCCCUCCCAUUAUUCGACUCACUCACCCAGCUCGCCCUAACAAGGCUCGCCGCAGGGAUUUGUGGUCUACUGUCUUCCUGUGGGAAAAGGUGGAUGUAAGAGGCCCUGUGCCAAAGGGUUGUGUAUGGUAAGCCAAUACACAACUGAAGUUCCAGCGUAGCAAGAGGUCAGUUACCGAAGAGCGUGCUGGUCGCAAAUUGGGUGGUCUUAGGGUCCUCAGUUCCUACUGGUUCAAUGAGGCUUCAACGUACAAGUAUUAUGAAGUGAUCCUUGUUGUCACUGCUCAAAACGCCAUCAAAGACAACCCAAGAAUCGAUGAGGAUUCAACUUACAAGUAUUAUGAAGUGAUCCUUGUUGUCACUGCUCGCUACGCCAUCAAAAACAACCCAAGAAUCAAUGAGGAUUCAACUUACAAUUAUUAUGUAUUGAUCCUUGUUGACACUGCUCAGGCCAUCAGAAGAAUAGGCCAUCGCACAGAGCCACAUGGAAGAGAAACCAGUCCAAAUCAUUCCGCAGAUACUGUUGAUUUUUGCUGUUUGAUAUCUCAUGGGGUCUUUUUUGGUGGCUAUUUUUUUUACUGUAAUUUAAACUACGGAGUUGGUCAAGGUUGUCUUUCUAGAACAGAAUCCCGAGGCAUCUCCAGUAGUGUCUCUAAUGUUAAUUUUGGUUACUGUGCUUGCAUUUUUUUCAGUUACUUUGUGGGAUUUCAAACCCUGUAAUGGCCCGUUUGGAAACAAGGAUUUCAUUUCAAAUGAUGGAAUUGGGCUAAAUGAUCUGUUUGGGAAGCGAAAGUAUUUGGAUUUGUAUUUGGGCCAAAUCCAAGACUUUAAAAAAUAAGGCUAUUGUAAAGAAUUUGAAAUACAAAGUAAAUAGUUGUCAUUUGAAAUUCUUUUUUUUA